RNAcentral lists this unclassified non-coding RNA (330 nucleotides) under soil metagenome. RNAcentral's name for it is "partial contains 5.8S ribosomal RNA, internal transcribed spacer 2, and large subunit ribosomal RNA". The stretch from base 1 to 120 matches the Rfam family "5.8S ribosomal RNA", at positions 35 to 154 of the family's 154-position model. The record is from RNAcentral.
GAUGAAGAACGUAGCGAAAUGCGAUAAGUAGUGUGAAUUGCAGAAUUCAGUGAAUCAUCGAAUCUUUGAACGCACAUUGCGCCCUUUGGUAUUCCUUAGGGCAUGCCUGUUCGAGCGUCAUUUAAACCUUCAAGCUAAGCUUGGUGUUGGGUGACUGUCCGCUUCACGGCGGACUCGCCUCAAAAUUAUUGGCGGCCGGUACAUUGGCUUCGAGCGCAGCAGAAACGCGAACUCGGGCCCGUCGUAUUGGCUCCCAGAAGCUAUCUUCACAAUUUUGACCUCGGAUCAGGUAGGGAUACCCGCUGAACUUAAGCAUAUCAAUAAGCGGAA